UUAAUCUUUGAAGUUUAUAUUUUAAUUUUCAAAAGGUCCUUGCUGUUAAAAUUCAUUAACUAACGAAGUUAAAAAAUUUAACGGAAGAAACCUUUUGGGAAUUAAAAUGUAAACUUCAGAGACUUU
This 126-nucleotide microRNA precursor is filed under the name Glycine max (soybean). RNAcentral's name for it is "miR10186b stem-loop (gma-MIR10186b)". Lineage: Eukaryota; Viridiplantae; Streptophyta; Magnoliopsida; Fabales; Fabaceae. The record is from miRBase by way of RNAcentral.